UAGGGGGAAAUUGACACAUAAAUUUAGCACAUUGAAUGAAUAAUGUGCAUGCACAAAGGGGAGAAUGAAUUUACAAGGUACUACCAUUCAUGAAGUAGCCUAUCAUUAAAGCUUCCAUUAAGAGAGUUGCAUAUCCCAUGCACCUAGCAUUCGGCCAAGGGGGAUUAAAGGGAUCUUAAAGGCUAGACAUUCAUGGACUUAAGGAUUCUUCAUGGCUAAGCAUGCAUGCACACACUAAGAGGG
Molecule: long non-coding RNA, 243 nt
Filed under: Gossypium barbadense (sea-island cotton)
Lineage: Eukaryota; Viridiplantae; Streptophyta; Magnoliopsida; Malvales; Malvaceae
Description: long non-coding RNA (GBAR_LNC000555)
Source: RNAcentral